ACCCGCUGAAUUUAAGCAUAUCAUUAAGCGGAGGAAAAGAAACUAACCAGGAUUCCCCUAGUAACGGCGAGUGAAGAGGGAAAAGCCCAGCACCGAAGCCUGCAGCAGAUUUGUUGUUAGGCAAUGUGGUGUUUAGAUCGGCUCGUGGGACCGCCACUCCAUUCGAAGUCCAGCAUUGAGUAUGGUACCCUGGAUUUGGCCCAGAGAGGGUGAAAGGCCCGUGCGAAUGGAUGUUUCAGACAUGUUAGGUGGUUCAUCAGGUCGAUCUUCGAGUCGGGUUGUUUGAGAAUGCAGCCCUAAGUGGGUGGUAAACUCCAUCCAAGGCUAAAUACUGGCACGAGUCCGAUAGCGAACAAGUACCGUGAGGGAAAGUUGAAAAGUACUCUGAAGAGAGAGUAAACAGUACGUGAAACCGUAUAGAGGUAAACGGGUGGCGUCAAGCUGCAAGCCCAGAGGAUUCAGUUGGUCACUGUGUGCGUACGUCUUGUGUAUAUCAGUCGGUAAUAGAACGGGCAGUCCACUGGAUAACGGUGGGUUCGGUCGUAAGGCCGGAUGUAUGUUCCACCUCGGUUGGUGGUGUACGCUGUUCGGCUAUUGGACUGGGUGGCCAAUGCACUUCCUCUGAUAUGGUGAACACCACGACCGGUGGAACUGCCAGUCUGGUAUAGCCAAGUUGUAUCUGGUUUGGCACUCGUGUCAGCUGGGUGCAAUCACAGGCAAAUUCGGUGGACGGUGGGCUUGCCCAUGUUAUCGGUCACUGGUUGUCAACGGGUGUGUCUGUCGGCGGUUGUGAUACUCGGCAGAUGACCUGGUGGGCUAUGCUGGUAAGAAUAACUGUGCAGGGCACCGGAAUUAGCGGUCUCGAAUCCGGUCGGCAUGCACUUCACAAGUGUCAAAUGGAGGUGUCAUUGCGGCCUGUCGGUUGCUGGGUCUGAUCGUCGUGUCGCCUGCGCAAAGUGGGUCCGGCGGUGGCCUGGUGCCGGUCGGUGUCGUUAGUGGCGCUUUCGUGUGUCGGCUGGUGUGGAUCGAAUAGUCUGUGGUGUGGUGGUAGACGAGCUACCCGACCCGUCUUGAAACACGGACCAAGGAGUUUAACAUGCACGCGAGUCAUUGGGCUGAACGAAACCCAAAGGCGCAAUGAAAGUGAAGCCUGGACUUGUUCUCUGGGUGUGGUGAGAUCCUGCUGUUUCUCGCAUCUGCACUUGUGUAUUGUGUCAGCACAAGGCAAAGAGCGGUAGGCGCAUCACCGGCCCGUCCCAUGAUGUGGUCAUUGGUUGGUUGUGGCUAUGGUUUACUGUGGUCAUGGCUCCAGUGCGUCAUCGGGGCGGAGCAUGAGCGUGCAUGUUGAGACCCGAAAGAUGGUGAACUAUGCUUGCGUAGGUUGAAGCCAGAGGAAACUCUGGUGGAGGACCGCAGCGAUUCUGACGUGCAAAUCGAUCGUCAAACGUGAGUAUAGGGGCGAAAGACUAAUCGAACCAUCUAGUAGCUGGUUCCCUCCGAAGUUUCCUC
RNAcentral lists this ribosomal RNA (1509 nucleotides) under Parachristianella indonesiensis. RNAcentral's name for it is "eukaryotic LSU rRNA". It matches the Rfam family "Eukaryotic large subunit ribosomal RNA", at positions 23 to 973 of the family's 3401-position model. The record is from RNAcentral. Lineage: Eukaryota; Metazoa; Platyhelminthes; Cestoda; Trypanorhyncha; Eutetrarhynchidae.